Long non-coding RNA from Phacochoerus africanus (Common warthog), 1309 nucleotides. RefSeq lists it as uncharacterized. NCBI's taxonomy places the organism in Eukaryota, Metazoa, Chordata, Mammalia, Artiodactyla, Suidae. The transcript is spliced from 3 exons. The record is from RefSeq and is a predicted model, not a curated record.
CUCGGGUGGCUGCUGUGGCGCAGGUCUGAUCCCUGGCCCAGGAACUUCCACGCACUGCCGGCACAGCCCCAAAAGAAAGGACGUUUCCAGUCCAUCCCAGGACAGACAUGAGUGAAACGUCGGAUUCUAAGAACCUGCUCAUUUCGUUCUCACGUCCGUUCAGUCAGGAGAUGAUGAAGAAACGUGGAGAAAAGAAAGCUUGUUUUUUGUUCUUGGAAGUCUCGCAGUGCCUCACCCAGCACGGAGUCUGGUGCACGGCAGAUCCUGUUUGUGGGGUGCAAAUGUGGGAAGAGCUGGUAACCCUACAAGCACCCUUCUGCUGACGCGGUGUCACAAGUCCGGUACACAGCCCAUGCUCCAUACAUGCAGGCCCCCCAGACUCUGAGACGCAGCUCAAGCACACCCAGGCAGCCCCGUUUAAGAAUCUGUGCCCCGACACGUUAGUGCACACGCGCCCAUGCUCACACACAUCCGUGGGCACGGCAGCGCCUGAAGGUGGAGCCUUUAGAAUGAACCCCCCAGAGAGACCCCUGCCUGCCGUCUCCAGGAAGCCCUCGCCUGCUGGGCCCUCCUUGGAAAACGCUGAGGCUUCCUUGCCGUCGGCCCCGGCUGCGGUGGGCGUCCAUCCUGGAAGGAGAGGGAGCGUGACCUGUGGGGACAGGGCUGUUUUAACCCUGGAGGGAAGCAGGACCACGGAGAUCCCUGCGGGAGACGAGGAAGAGAAGGUCGGCAAGGAGCUGGGAGCGGCUCGGAGCAGCCCCAGCGAGACGCGGGCUGGGAGGGGGGGUCUCCGUGUCUGGGGAGGGCACCCCAGGCCUCCUGCUCAGAAUGAGGGCGGACGAGAGGCUGUGUUCGUGGCCGGGGGCUCCCGCCUGUGAGACGAGCAGUCAGGGCACAGGUAAACCACAGGCAGACCUGUUGGAGGGAGACAGAGACACAGGCGGCCCGAGCACCUCCCUCCUGCAGCCCCACCAGGCGGCCUUGCCACCCUCAUCAGCACCCCUUCACCUCUCAGGUGAACAAGCCCCACGUCCUCACUGUCCCCCCCAGUCCCCUCCCUUGUCAUCCCCGCCCGUGCUUGGGCUGGUCUUUGCAAAGUGCAGACUCCAUGCACACUGUGGUGUGUGCAGCGGCCAGGCCUCAGGGACCUGCUGCACAGCCCAGGGACCUGCAGCCUCGGUUCGGUGAUGACCCAUGUGGGCAAAGAAUUGAAAGAGAACGGAUGUGUGUUCAUGGAUCCCUGAUCCGCCUCGUUGUACCGCAGACAUGAUCCUAGCAUUGACCCUCAACUACACGUCAAUAAAACGUU